This 417-nucleotide ribosomal RNA is filed under the name uncultured bacterium. RNAcentral describes it as "bacterial SSU rRNA". It matches the Rfam family "Bacterial small subunit ribosomal RNA", at positions 94 to 523 of the family's 1533-position model. The record is from RNAcentral.
AGCGGCGGACGGGUGAGUAACACGUGAGGAACAUGCCCUUCAGUGGGGAACAACACCGGGAAACCGGUGCUAAUACCGCAUGACGUCCCUGGGGAGACAUCUUCCUGGGACCAAAGGAGAAAUCCGCUGAAGGAUGGCCUCGCGUCCGAUUAGCUAGUUGGCGGGGUAACGGCCCACCAAGGCUUCGAUCGGUAGCCGAACUGAGAGGUUGAUCGGCCACAUUGGGACUGAGACACGGCCCAGACUCCUACGGGAGGCAGCAGUGGGGAAUAUUGGGCAAUGGGGGAAACCCUGACCCAGCAACGCCGCGUGAAGGACGAAGGCCUUCGGGUUGUAAACUUCUUUGACCGGGGACGAACACAAUGACGGUACCCGGGGAACAAGCCACGGCUAACUACGUGCCAGCAGCCGCGGUAA